RNAcentral lists this ribosomal RNA (253 nucleotides) under uncultured bacterium. RNAcentral's name for it is "partial 16S ribosomal RNA". It matches the Rfam family "Bacterial small subunit ribosomal RNA", at positions 524 to 776 of the family's 1533-position model. The record is from RNAcentral.
GACGUAGGGGGCAAGCGUUGUCCGGAAUCAUUGGGCGUAAAGCGCGUGUAGGCGGCUCGGUAAGUCUGCUGUGAAAGUCCAGGGCUCAACCCUGGGAUGCCGGUGGAUACUGUCGAGCUCGAGUCCGGAAGAGGCGAGUGGAAUUCCUGGUGUAGCGGUGAAAUGCGCAGAUAUCAGGAGGAACACCAAUUGCGAAGGCAGCUCGCUGGGACGUUACUGACGCUGAGACGCGAAAGCGUGGGGAGCAAACAGG